Small nuclear RNA from Marmota flaviventris (yellow-bellied marmot), 104 nucleotides. The record is from RefSeq and is a predicted model, not a curated record. NCBI's taxonomy places the organism in Eukaryota, Metazoa, Chordata, Mammalia, Rodentia, Sciuridae.
GUGCUCUCUUUGGCAUCACAUAUACUAAAAUUGGAAUGAUACAGAUAUUAGCAUGGCCCCUGCGCAAGGCUGACAUGCAAAUUCCUGAAGCGUUUCAUAUUAAA